RNAcentral lists this ribosomal RNA (383 nucleotides) under Xanthomonas oryzae pv. oryzae. RNAcentral describes it as "bacterial SSU rRNA". It matches the Rfam family "Bacterial small subunit ribosomal RNA", at positions 573 to 954 of the family's 1533-position model. Lineage: Bacteria; Pseudomonadati; Pseudomonadota; Gammaproteobacteria; Lysobacterales; Lysobacteraceae. The record is from RNAcentral.
AGGUGGUUUCUUAAGUCUGAUGUGAAAGCCCACGGCUCAACCGUGGAGGGUCAUUGGAAACUGGGAGACUUGAGUGCAGAAGAGGAAAGUGGAAUUCCAUGUGUAGCGGUGAAAUGCGUAGAGAUAUGGAGGAACACCAGUGGCGAAGGCGACUUUCUGGUCUGUAACUGACACUGAGGCGCGAAAGCGUGGGGAGCAAACAGGAUUAGAUACCCUGGUAGUCCACGCCGUAAACGAUGAGUGCUAAGUGUUAGAGGGUUUCCGCCCUUUAGUGCUGAAGUUAACGCAUUAAGCACUCCGCCUGGGGAGUACGGCCGCAAGGCUGAAACUCAAAGGAAUUGACGGGGGCCCGCACAAGCGGUGGAGCAUGUGGUUUAAUUCGA